Long non-coding RNA from Neogale vison (American mink), 2500 nucleotides. RefSeq lists it as uncharacterized. The record is from RefSeq and is a predicted model, not a curated record. Lineage: Eukaryota; Metazoa; Chordata; Mammalia; Carnivora; Mustelidae. The transcript has 2 exons.
CGUCGCCGUGCUCCGCUGAGAGCGGGCCUUUCUCGGUGGAGUCCCGCCCCCCAGCCCAUCUCUGCUGGGCGCUGUGGUACCGGUGGCUGGGUCUCCGUGGCACUCCGUGGGUCUUCGGCGGGAUGUGUGCUGCGCGGUCCACGUUACCAAGGGGCGGGGCCGAGCCUUACCAGCCUUACAGCGCCGAUGGCUCUGCGCCCCCUCCACGCAGCCGCGGUGGAGUCUGCCCUGACAGUCACACAUACACUUGUGAAUCGUGACAGGCAGCGUUCAGGGGUUUGGUCUCUACGACUUCGCUGUUUUCCCCACGCCGGACUCACCUCUCACAUACCCAGAGGUCCUCUUGAGGAGGCGUCUGGGACAGUGGAGUUGGACGGAGUACGAAUACAACUUCUGUGAGGAGCGCAGGUCAUAAAUGGACGAGGAGGCUCAGGAGGUCAAGAGAGGCCCCUUGAAAGUGGCACCUGGGCUGCCCUCCAGUUUGAGUGGGAGUGACUGACUUAGCAAGGAGACUGGCAUACAAGUCUCCUCAGACGAGAAUACAACACCGACAUGGAAGCCACACAAAUGCCAGGUAGGUGUUAUCUGUGGCAAAGAGAUAAGGUUAAGCCUUCAAAGAGGAGCAGGACUUGGGCACCUGACAGGAUAUUAUUGGGGAGCAGUAGUGUGCAGGACAGUUAGUGGGUACAGGGUGUUAGAGAGUAACAGAGGUAAGACUCUACCCUUGCACACUCAGUGCCAAACUUAGCUUUUAAGUGUCCUAUGAAUGUUUAUGGAAACAGUAAAUGAAGGGGAGAUGGUUGUCGGGGUGUAGAUCUUGAAUAGCAGAGUUUAGUUUUUGAGACAACUAGUAUGUUCCCUCAGUAGGCCCAAAUGUUGAACACUUUUCUUAAUUACGGCAGGUCUCUGGUCUUGUGAAGAAAGGAUUGCCCUUCGUUUGUCAGGAAGGAUUAGGUUCCACCAAACAGAGUAGCAGACAGCAGUGUGGUGUUGUGCUGGAUCUUGGGGUUGUUCUCAGCACAGCGUGCUGGCACUUGAUCUUGGGAGUUCUUCUCAGCCCCACAGGGAAUGCCAGAAGUCCGGAGUGUGCUGGCUGUGCAACUUUCCAGAAGUGGACCAAGGAGGGCCCCCCCCUUAUUAAUGUCAAGUACCUUAGUCAUAAAACGGGCUUCAAUCUAUUAAAAAACCUUUUCCAGUUUUGACUUAGCAAAAUCUGACUAGUUCUAGAGCCCUUCUUGAAAACAGGCGAUUAGAGAAAGAUGAGCAUUAUUAGCAUAAUUUCCAGUGAUAUGAAGAGCCUGGAGGGGAAAUCCAGACUUGUGCCACUGAAUUGUUCCAAUAUAUAUGCAUUUAGCCUUUGCCUCCUCUAGUUUACUCCUCCUGGAGUCAAAGGUGAUCAUCAACAAAUAUAAAGAGAAAAAAAAUAAAGGUAACAGACAACUGGGACCACCACUUUAUAGACAGUGGUAAAGGAAAAGCUCACUACUGUGAUGUUUGAAUUCUCUAAAGGAAGAGAGGCAGUCUCCAGUAUACACAAGUGACAGGCAGAAGGGAGAGUUGGUAAGAACAGUGAGUCAGCUUGCUUACAAUGUAGACCAUUGUGGCUCAAGAUGAUCAGGGGAUGAAUGGUAUCAGAAGGUAGGGAGUGGCAGCCACAUGCCUGACUGGUCAUUGUGGGGACUCAAUUUUGCCCCAAGAAGCCACUGAGUUCUGAGCCAAGAAGAGACAAAGUGUAACUUUGUGGUUUAGCAGGGACACUCUGCAGCCUGAAUGAAGGUUAAACUGUAGGGGAGAAAGGGUAGGGGACAGGAAGACAAAUGUGGAUGUGACCGCAAUAACCCAGGUGAGGGAUUUUAGGUCAGAAUAGGGUGUGUGGGGGGUGAUACUGGAGGAAGUAUGCAGAGGCCAGAUUUAAUUUGCUGAUGGGUCAAAUGUGGGGUUUAAAGCAUGGGAACCUAGGAAGAACCUUUCUGAAGCCCUAGUAUAAAUGCAGACCUGGAGGCUUCAGAGUAAGCUAGGUUCUUAGGAACUUUCAGAAUCUUUCUCCUUUCCCAUUUUAUUCCCUUUAUAAUGCAUAUUGUAUGUAUUAAUGUUGCUCCUCUCCCAUAACAGAGAAGUUCCUUGACAACAGGAAUUGCCCUCUGGUACACGUGCAGCAUGCAUUUAGUGGACACCUGACUUGAAAGAUGAAUAAUCCCAUUACAACAAAUGGACUGUAUCAUUGCAACAUGGAUGUCCUCAUAGAAAGAGAACUUUUUUCCUCCCCAAAGUACAAAUUCGUUCAUUAACCUCAUGUAAUAUAUUCCAUCGGGCAUACAAUGAUACAAAACCAAUAACCACUUCAAAUGCAUUGGUUUAAUUCCAGGUGACACGGAGUUCAGGAUAGAACCAAGACUGAAGAGCACACAUUGGCAGGAUUCUUGGCUAGGUUCACGCUGACCUCAAAACUAACACAGAAAUGACUGAGUGACAAAAAAUAAAGAGAAUAUGAGCCACUGUA